UGGCUUAGGACGAACGCGUGGCGGCGUCGCCUAACACAUGCAAGUCGAGCGAGGAGAUCCUUCGGGAUGAUCCUAGCGGCGGACGGGUGAGUAACACGUGGGCAACCUGCCUCAUAGAGAGGAAUAGUCUUCCGAAAGGGAGAUUAAUACCUCAUAACAUUGCAGUUUCGCAUGGAACAGCAAUUAAAGGAGUAAUCCGCUAUGAGAUGGGCCCGCGGCGCAUUAGCUAGUUGGUGAGGUAACGGCUCACCAAGGCGACGAUGCGUAGCCGACCUGAGAGGGUGAUCGGCCACAUUGGGACUGAGACACGGCCCAGACUCCUACGGGAGGCAGCAGUGGGGAAUAUUGCACAAUGGGGGAAACCCUGAUGCCAGCAACGCCGCGUGAGCGAUGACGGCCUUCGGGUUGUAAAGCUCUGUCUUCAGGGACGAUAAUGACGGUACCUGAGGAGGAAGCCACGGCUAACUACGUGCCAGCCGCCGC
RNAcentral lists this ribosomal RNA (483 nucleotides) under uncultured bacterium. RNAcentral describes it as "bacterial SSU rRNA". It matches the Rfam family "Bacterial small subunit ribosomal RNA", at positions 20 to 518 of the family's 1533-position model. The record is from RNAcentral.